GGCAGAGCCACAGGUGGGGGACGAAUCACAGGCCAGGUUACUCCAUCAUGAGGUCAUACAGGUGGCUUUAGAGUGCAUCAGAGCAGGGGCUAAACCAACUGUCAUUGAGACUGACACGACUGAGGCAUGGACGGCAGAGCUGGAUGAAAGAGUCAGAAAAUUUGAAGAGGAUUUCCGAAAGAAUGGAUUCUUAAAUUCUGAAACUGAUAAAAGUGUGGGACAGCAGUUGUUGUUACUGCAAGCUGAGGUGA
This is a long non-coding RNA of Carassius gibelio (silver crucian carp), 251 nucleotides long. RefSeq lists it as uncharacterized. The transcript has 3 exons. The record is from RefSeq and is a predicted model, not a curated record. Lineage: Eukaryota; Metazoa; Chordata; Actinopteri; Cypriniformes; Cyprinidae.